This is a long non-coding RNA of Numida meleagris (helmeted guineafowl), 3333 nucleotides long. RefSeq lists it as uncharacterized. The transcript is spliced from 6 exons. The record is from RefSeq and is a predicted model, not a curated record. NCBI's taxonomy places the organism in Eukaryota, Metazoa, Chordata, Aves, Galliformes, Numididae.
UUCCCUCAGCACAGCGCUGCACGGCCGCUUCCCGCGCUUUUUCCUCAGCGCGGUGCUGCGCCGCCGCUUCCCGCCCUUUUCUCUCAGCACAGCGCUGCACGGCCGCUUCGCGCCCUUUUCUCUCAGCACAGCGCUGCACGGCCGCUUCCCGCCCUUUUCUCUCAGCGCAGCGCUGCACGGCCGCUUCCCGCCCUUUUCCCUCAGCCGUUGCUCCCUCGCCUCGCGCCGCGACCCCCCCCGGCGCUCCCUCACGGGGACGCGCGCUGCUGCCCACGCUUGAGCACGGGCACCUGGCGCAGAAGUGGAAAAACAAAACAAAGCACGGUAUCAUUUUGGAAAUAUUUUUAUAAGGUGCUGCAGCAAAUCCUGAAAAGACUUGCAAAUAAUUGCAUGGCUCUUUUCAAGAUAAGAAGGGAAAGAGACGAUGAACUCCGUUUUCAUCUGAGGUGCACAUUAGGAAAGGCAAUUCCAGCUGAAAUUCGAAUGAACAGAAGAGUAGCGGACUAAUCCAAGAGAAAGGGGCCGUGACUUUCACAAAAUCAGCCAGCAGCUCAGUGACACAGGCUACUAGAACUUAUUCCAUUUGGAAAAUCUCUGGAAGAUUGAACUUGGAGUACAGGGCUGAACUGAAAACUGGUGACAAGCAGGAUCUGAGCUACCAGGACAGCAAAGGACAGGUUGGCAUGGAUAUGAUAGCGCUGGUUGCGGAUGGUGCUCACAGACCUGGCAGAAGACAGAAAGGAAUACAAGAAAAAUACAACAAUACAGCUGCAUUUGGAUGAAGGGCUCUGACUACAAUCAGGACUCUAAUAGCCACAGGUAAACUGAACUGGAGAGGAUCCUAAAGAGUUCCGAAGACUGUUAUCCUCUUCUCAAAACUGACUGGAAAACCAGUGCAACACCUUCAGAUGAAAUUAAUACAAGCAUUUUUCACUUUUGUCCUGUAUUGAGGAACAGUAAUCAGAAAUAAGGUGUCUCAAGAUAAUUCAUACACCGACUGAGCUGUAUAGCAGAACUAUACCCUUUAACAGAAGGAAUUUGAUCUUCCCCAAGAGAAGCAGUUCCAGAUUGUUCAGCUACAUGGUGGGGGGAGCUUGUGGCCUUUGUUUUCCUAAACGUCCUCCUUAGCACCAGAUAUGCUGAUGAAAGCAGAACAUCUACUGGUUUCCACUGACAGAUUUAGCUGUAUAGUCUAAUUGCUAUGAGUUAGAACAAAUUUUAGGAAUUGUGACUACUCAAACCUGAGCAGAAGUGGGCUGUCCAAAGCAAUCACAUUUUGUAUUAACGUUAGGUCUAUUUUAAAGGUAUAGCUUUAAUAAUGUAGGAAAACAUGAACUGCAAUUUCUUAAUAUCUUUUUAGCUGCAAGAAACCCUUUAUCCUAAAAAUAAAUAAUUCAAUGAGCUGUGCUAGAAGAAAUUGAUAAUCUUCUGUACCCAGGGAAGUUUUAGAAGGUAGAUACAGAUACAUAAAUUCUACUGUGAAUACAACAUUAUGGCAUAAGAUCCUAUUCGUUUCAUUUAAUCUUUUCCUUUUUGGUGGAGAACAAAGUAAGCACUUAUAAAAAUCAGCAUUUUUCACUCACAUUUCAAUCGGAUUUAGUGAUUUUUAGGAGGUGUUUUCUGGCUCUUCCUUAGUAUCCCUGCCCUCAAAUUAAAAUGUACUGAAAGUAUCAAGUAUCCUCUUUCCUUCUCCCCUCCUCAUCCACAUUCAUACAAUGAACUUCCCCAGAUUUGUUCCAAAAAAUGAUCUCUGUAAACUCCUUGAACUCCCUGACUGCAUUCUUGAAUGCUUUUCAUAAAACACCAUUGAGAUACAGCCCCAUCCAUCCCCUCGACAAAGCAUGAACUAGAAAAAAAGAUGACUAGCUAGCUUGAAGAAAAUCUCUCUGCAUGUCAUGUCUUUGUUCUUCUAAUGGAUAUUUAAUAUUAAGUUUGAAUUGAUCUAACAAAGCGCGACUUAAACUCCCUGAAACUCUUACCAGUGAAUAAUCUUAAUUAAGACAAAUAAAGAACAAGUGCAUCUCCAGGUGUUGGAGCAAAAAACUUCUAACCCUUCUGGACUCUCCAAGUGAAGCGAAGCAAACUUAUACAGUUAUACUAUCUGUGCAGUUCUUUGUCCUACAACCAGUUCUUCUUUUCCCAAGCAACCUUUCAAGAGCCUCCGAAACAAAGAAGAAAAUUUUCCUAAAUACCACUUCAACUGUUGGGCACCAUACAAAAGCUCCCAAACCCUUGAGCAAAUGUGGUGUGCAAAUUAAAACAAAUCACAAAUAGUGUCCUUUGCCACUUAGAGUUUUUCUUUACUCUAAAGAGAUAUUUAAACUGCUUGCCCACUUGACAACUAUUCUAUCAUUUUGUUACUUUGGAUACGAGUUAGGUUUCGUUAGCAUGGAAUUGCAGGGGCAAAAAUUUUAUGUGGCCUUAGCUUUCUAGUCCCAACCAUGGAGCUAUGAACUCUUUUGAUGUCUCUCAUCCUCAUAGUAUGGUUUCAGGGCUGCAGUGUGGAGAGGAGCCUAAGACUGAGUAGGAGCACAAAACUGACAAAAUUCCUGAACAUCACAAUAAACAAUUGCAGAUCUGAAAGCGCAGAACGAUAGGAAGCUUUGCAUUUCGUGAGAAUGAAUGAACUACUCCGAUUCUCUUCCAAACUGAGUAGUACCGAAGAUAUCUAACAAACUAUUCCUAAUCGACCAGGUACUACAACUGGCCUACCUGACUAGGAAUGUUUGCUGUUGACACAGGUUUUCCCACAGAGAGGGAACGUGAGUGUAAACAGAUGAGAUAGGGAUGGGUUUAGAGAAAUGGAUGAGGUUCUGUGGUCACAUUUCCUUUGGAUACUUGAAAAAUCCAAAGAAAAGUAUGGUUGCUAACAAAAGGAGAAAGCUACUGACAAGGUAGUAGAAUAAUGACAUAGAAUAAGCAUGCACAAAGCCAAAUCUGAGAAUUCCGGGCAGUUCAAACUCAACCAAGCUGUGUGUGGAAAGGCAUGCUGAGGGAGGAGGGUGUAGGAACAAGCUUUCAUUUACAUAAGCUAAAUCUGGAUAUGUGUUCAGUUCUAUCUUCAAAGAGUACAUGCUAGCUGCUGCGAAAGAAAUUAAAGUGAUGAUUUCUGUGAUAUUAAGAGCAUCCACAUUGGUAGCCUGUGCUAAAGGACUUCCAUACCACUCUCAAACUAUCUGUUCUAUUUUGCAGAGCACAGAACAUGCCUGCUGUUUCACAGUGUGCUUAUCUGGAAAUAACUCUUGCUUCCAUUAACAUUUACUCUUCAUAUCAGGGGGGAAAAAAAAGAUUAAAGUUAACAGAAGUGUUAGAAAAAUAUAGCAAAACAGAAAA